RNAcentral lists this ribosomal RNA (429 nucleotides) under Verrucomicrobiota bacterium. Its description in RNAcentral is "Verrucomicrobia bacterium partial 16S ribosomal RNA". It matches the Rfam family "Bacterial small subunit ribosomal RNA", at positions 355 to 776 of the family's 1533-position model. The record is from RNAcentral. Lineage: Bacteria; Pseudomonadati; Verrucomicrobiota.
UGGGGAAUCUUCCGCAAUGGACGAAAGUCUGACGGAGCAACGCCGCGUGAGUGAUGACGGUUAUCGGAUUGUAAAGCUCUGUUAAUCGGGACGAAUGGUUUGUGUGCAAAUAGUGCAUAGACAUGACGGUACCGGAAUAGAAAGCCACGGCUAACUACGUGCCAGCAGCCGCGGUAAUACGUAGGUGGCAAGCGUUGUCCGGAAUUAUUGGGCGUAAAGCGCGCGCAGGCGGACUAGCCAGUCAGUCUUAAAAGUUCGGGGCUUAACCCCGUGAUGGGAUUGAAACUACUAGUCUAGAGUAUCGGAGAGGAAAGUGGAAUUCCUAGUGUAGCGGUGAAAUGCGUAGAUAUUAGGAAGAACACCAGUGGCGAAGGCGACUUUCUGGACGAACACUGACGCUGAGGCGCGAAAGCCAGGGGAGCGAACGGG